RNAcentral lists this long non-coding RNA (1381 nucleotides) under Sinocyclocheilus anshuiensis. Its description in RNAcentral is "lncRNA (ENSSANG00000038223.1)". Lineage: Eukaryota; Metazoa; Chordata; Actinopteri; Cypriniformes; Cyprinidae. The record is from RNAcentral.
ACUGAACUGAGCCAGCUACAGCCAUCCACUGAUUAUCAGCACAGCAGGCACAGGAGACCAGCCCACUGACAGAGACACAGACAAACCACACGCACCAAAAUAAUAGCGAACCGAGACACAGACGUCGAGUAUGAAACCAAUCAAACAGUCACAGUAUCCUCGGGCAGUGAUUCUGAAUUUUAGCUGUAUAUGGGAACAUUAUGCAAGAACGGCGUUCGUGGACAUGGGUCGCCGUUACACGAUCCUGCGGACCAGUUACCUGAGGAUUUGUGUGAGACAGCGGCCCAUAUGCUUACAGAUCCCCCACCACAUUUCACAGAUGGCAACCGAUGUUGCGGGCUGCAGGCAUCUUUUGGCUUUCCCGUGAGAUAAACCCGCCUGGAUGCAGGAAAUAUGGUAAAAGAUGACUCACUGGACCAUUUUUUUCCGUUGUUUUGUGUUUAAUGCAUCGUUUGGGUCUUGGAUACAAACAGUUUCUGAAUGGCUGCCCUGCUAUAAAUUCCGCCUUUGUGUAAAGAGUUUUUGUUGAAACUGGUUACAGUUUGGACAUGUGUGGUCACUUAGCAACUGUCCUAAACAUCCCUGUUGGUGAACUUUGACAUCAAGUUAGAGUUCGCUGUUUAUGCCUAUUUGGCAUGAAUAUGCCAUGCUUUUGUAAUUUUUUGAGACAAUUCGAAUUGAGGUACCAAUAAUAUGGCCCAUUGCAACUUUACUAGUUGCCUCAUUUCACCAAGAAAACUCAAUAACUGAAGUGCUGAUUUUCAGAUUUCAUGUAAUGCAUUAAUUUUUCAGCUUCACUAAUAGGAUUAGCAGUUGCAAACUUACAAAAGACAUAUGCAGUAUCUUUUUUUACAGUCUAAAAAUCGGACAUUUCCAUCCCUAUUUCCAUGUCAUUUCAGUAAGAUGGGUUCCUGGAUCGAUAUCUUUUGUUGGUCCUGGAACAGCGGUCAUAUCAACCAUUCGUUUAAUUAUUAAUGUAGUUAAUGGUUAGGGUUAAGUAUAGGUUCCAGAUUCAUUGGUGGUCAAUGAAAGAUACCGAGGUCUACAACAGGGGUUCUCAACUCUUACCUCCAACCUUGAUCAAACUCACCUGCCGGUAACUUUCUAGUGAUCCUGAAGACCUUGAUUAGCUUGUUCAGGUGUGUUUGAUCAGGGUUGGAGCUAAAUUCUGGAGGAAAGUGGGCCUCCAGGGCCAGAGUUGAGAACCCCUGGUCUACAAGAUUAUUGACUGAUUUAAAAAGGACCCAAAUAAAUUACAUAAUUAUAAAUGAGAAAAAUCACCAACAUUAAAUUCAUCAAUCUAUAAAUAAAUAAAUAAAGCAAUAAUGUAUUUUUAAAUAAUCUUUAAUUAAUAAAUAAAUGGUUCACAGAUCUAAAUGCA